UUCUCACCCUAACUCAUGUUUGUUACUGACGCUUAUUUUAAUGCAACACGUGUUGGCAAUCCAGGGCUCUUUAUAUUGGGCAUACGUCCCCGACCCACCCUUAUUGCUCAUCACAA
Molecule: long non-coding RNA, 116 nt
Organism: Mustela erminea (ermine)
Lineage: Eukaryota; Metazoa; Chordata; Mammalia; Carnivora; Mustelidae
Exons: 3
Source: RefSeq, a predicted model, not a curated record